CAGCAGCCGCGGUAACACGUAGGGCGCAAGCGUUGUCCGGAAUUAUUGGGCGUAAAGAGCUCGUAGGCGGUCUGUCGCGUCUGGUGUGAAAUCCCGAGGCUCAACCUCGGGCUUGCAUCGGGUACGGGCAGACUAGAGUGCGGUAGGGGAGACUGGAAUUCCUGGUGUAGCGGUGGAAUGCGCAGAUAUCAGGAGGAACACCGAUGGCGAAGGCAGGUCUCUGGGCCGCAACUGACGCUGAGGAGCGAAAGCAUGGGGAGCGAACAGGAUUAGAUACCCCGGUAGUCCCUGUCUCUUAUAC
This 301-nucleotide ribosomal RNA is filed under the name uncultured bacterium. RNAcentral describes it as "partial 16S ribosomal RNA". It matches the Rfam family "Bacterial small subunit ribosomal RNA", at positions 509 to 807 of the family's 1533-position model. The record is from RNAcentral.